UUUUCGGAAGUUGCCGUAAACAAGCAUGUAAAACGUUACUAGUCCUAAACGGUAAUAGCUAGAAACAUGGUUCCAGCGCUAAAAUGUUGCCCAUGUUGCAUUUUUCACGGACUUCACUUCCUGGUUUCCGUACAGUUCGGUUUUUCUCGGAGAUUUUCGGCCAGACUCCUGAAACAAGAAGCUCAUCUGUUAGUGCCUCGGCAUCCGGUGGUUCACAAUCACCAUGUUCCAGCAGCUCCCAAAGCCCGGAUAUAGACUGGGUGGAUAUCUUUCUGAUACCAUAGGAUAAGUUCCCGGAGGAGCUUAUGCAGUUUUUAGAGAGAGGAAAAUGACCAAGUCCACGAAUGAGAAGAGAGAUGGUCCGGAUUGUGGUGAAUGAGAUGAUGCGAAAAUGUUCUUGCCCAAGUAAAAGGAAUUCUACUGAAGUUGCCAAAAUGUUGGUGGCAAAAUAUCCCAAAUCUCUACAAAACAUAAAGAGAUGUCCAGGGUACCAUUCUUUAGUUAAGCAGUUGCAGUAUAACACUGAAAAUGUGAAGUGAUCUACCACACCCAAAAUAAGAAAAUUAAAGCAUUGCACUGAUGACUCUGACACUGAGGAAAUUCCUCCCAAACAGAGAGCAGCAAUCCAGGAUAUUUAUGGGUGCAUUAACUGGGAUGUAAAAUUCCUGCUCCUUGGAGAGACCCCUGAAAGCCAACAGGAAAAGAAGGAAAAACUGAAGAUGAUGUCUCUGCAAACUGAUAUAAAUCUAGAGAAGGUCAAACAUCUACGGAAGUUGACUUUCUACAUGCAACGUAAACAAGUCAACCAGGGAAAAAAUAUAAAAUGCCUUCUAGUGGAGUGGCCAUUUUGGUUCAAAGAACUUGGCAUGGCAGUUCAAUUCAAGGAACUUGCCGGAAUUCGUCUUAAAGAAACUUUCACACGCAAUCUGGAAUUGAAGGGUAAACGACUCUUGAACUACUUCAGUACAGUUGGUAUGAGCAAGAACAAAAAAUUCCUGCAGGCUGUAACAAAGUGUAAAGUUAUGAGGGAACAUCUGAGUGGUUGCUCUGAAGACAUGAAAGAGAUGUUGCUGCUUUUGCUCUCCUACUUUAAAGAGAAGGAACAUGCAAUGUUCUAUUAUGUGGAGGACACAUGCCUGGAAGGGGAAGUAGAGAUGGACAAAGUUCAUUUGACUUCCACCCUUGUUGUAUGUGUGGAUCCUGCUGUGUGUGGAUCGAAAUGUUGUACAUGACAACAUCCCCUCCUUCAUUUCUGCCCUGUGCAUGAUACUUUCUGCACUGGCACAUAGUUUUUCAGAUGUUUUUUCUCCAUCAACCCAGAGAAGGGCACCAAAGUGGAGAAGACAAACACAGCCCAUCUUCACAUGAACCCAAGAGUCCUUACCUUGACUUGGGACCUUUCAGAUCAUGAGUGGUGUGAUGUCUAAAUAUGGACUUAAGUCAGUAAGAUUUUUUACAUUUAAUGAAUGAUGUGCCAUACUCUCAGUUUAAAGGUUUGUUUCAGCUGCUAUGCUCAGUAGAUGUGUUAAGUUAAAGUUAUAAAACUGUUAUAGUUGCUAUUGCUCUAGUAUUUUCUGAUUUCCAUUCUUGUAUCUCAAAUUGUUAUACUGAUUCCAAGGAAAUGCAGUAAUCAUUAGUUUUAAUGAUGUUACUAUUAUUCAAAAAAAACCUUUUUUUUAUUUGUUCUUUAACAUUUUAAGAGAGAACUCCCUCCAUCUUUACUUUUUUAUUUUUAGUAAGAUAAUCAUUAAUCUGUCACAUGCUCUCUGUUGUAUUGUUUGUAAAGACAGUACACGUUACAGUUUUGUGUUGAGAACUGAAAUUUUUUGUUCACUUCUUAAAGGUCAAUAAAUGCUUCAAAGGGCAAAUUAUUAUUGGAUUUCUAUGUCUUUCUAUGCAGUAGCUCUUAAUGCAUAUCUAGCUU
This is a long non-coding RNA of Hemibagrus wyckioides, 1924 nucleotides long. RefSeq lists it as uncharacterized. The record is from RefSeq and is a predicted model, not a curated record. NCBI's taxonomy places the organism in Eukaryota, Metazoa, Chordata, Actinopteri, Siluriformes, Bagridae. The transcript is spliced from 4 exons.